This 440-nucleotide ribosomal RNA is filed under the name uncultured Sphingomonas sp. RNAcentral describes it as "bacterial SSU rRNA". It matches the Rfam family "Bacterial small subunit ribosomal RNA", at positions 55 to 523 of the family's 1533-position model. The record is from RNAcentral. Lineage: Bacteria; Pseudomonadati; Pseudomonadota; Alphaproteobacteria; Sphingomonadales; Sphingomonadaceae.
GAGAGGGCCUACCAAGGUCGAGUUCGAACGGGGACCUUCGGGUCUAGUGGCGCACGGGUGCGUAACACGUGGGAAUCUGCCCUUAGGUUCGGAAUAACUCAGGGAAACUUGAGCUAAUACCGGAUGAUGUCUUCGGACCAAAGAUUUAUCGCCUAAGGAUGAGCCCGCGCAGGAUUAGCUAGUUGGUGAGGUAAAGGCUCACCAAGCCGACGAUCGGUAGCUGGUCUGAGAGGAUGAUCAGCCACACUGGGACUGAGACACGGCCCAGACUCCUACGGGAGGCAGCAGUGGGGAAUAUUGGACAAUGGGGGCAACCCUGAUCCAGCAAUGCCGCGUGAGUGAUGAAGGCCUUAGGGUUAGGGGAGCGCUUUCGCACGCGACGAUGAUGACGGUAGCGUGAGAAGAAGCCCCGGCUAACUUCGUGCCAGCAGCCGCGGUAA